This 1460-nucleotide ribosomal RNA is filed under the name uncultured organism. Its description in RNAcentral is "SSU rRNA". It matches the Rfam family "Bacterial small subunit ribosomal RNA". The record is from RNAcentral.
CAGGCCUAACACAUGCAAGUCGAACGGUAACAGGAAGCAGCUUGCUGCUUCGCUGACGAGUGGCGGACGGGUGAGUAAUGUCUGGGAAACUGCCUGAUGGAGGGGGAUAACUACUGGAAACGGUAGCUAAUACCGCAUAACGUCGCAAGACCAAAGAGGGGGACCUUCGGGCCUCUUGCCAUCGGAUGUGCCCAGAUGGGAUUAGCUAGUAGGUGGGGUAACGGCUCACCUAGGCGACGAUCCCUAGCUGGUCUGAGAGGAUGACCAGCCACACUGGAACUGAGACACGGUCCAGACUCCUACGGGAGGCAGCAGUGGGGAAUAUUGCACAAUGGGCGCAAGCCUGAUGCAGCCAUGCCGCGUGUAUGAAGAAGGCCUUCGGGUUGUAAAGUACUUUCAGCGGGGAGGAAGGCGAUAAGGUUAAUAACCUUGUCGAUUGACGUUACCCGCAGAAGAAGCACCGGCUAACUCCGUGCCAGCAGCCGCGGUAACACGGAGGGUGCAAGCGUUAAUCGGAAUUACUGGGCGUAAAGCGCACGCAGGCGGUCUGUCAGGUCGGAUGUGAAAUCCCCGGGCUCAACCUGGGAACUGCAUUCGAAACUGGCAGGCUAGAGUCUUGUAGAGGGGGGUAGAAUUCCAGGUGUAGCGGUGAAAUGCGUAGAGAUCUGGAGGAAUACCGGUGGCGAAGGCGGCCCCCUGGACAAAGACUGACGCUCAGGUGCGAAAGCGUGGGGAGCAAACAGGAUUAGAUACCCUGGUAGUCCACGCCGUAAACGAUGUCGACUUGGAGGUUGUGCCCUUGAGGCGUGGCUUCCGGAGCUAACGCGUUAAGUCGACCGCCUGGGGAGUACGGCCGCAAGGUUAAAACUCAAAUGAAUUGACGGGGGCCCGCACAAGCGGUGGAGCAUGUGGUUUAAUUCGAUGCAACGCGAAGAACCUUACCUACUCUUGACAUCCAGAGAACUUUCCAGAGAUGGAUUGGUGCCUUCGGGAACUCUGAGACGGGUGCUGCAUGGCUGUCGUCAGCUCGUGUUGUGAAAUGUUGGGUUAAGUCCCGCAACGAGCGCAACCCUUAUCCUUUGUUGCCAGCGGUCCGGCCGGGAACUCAAAGGAGACUGCCAGUGAUAAACUGGAGGAAGGUGGGGAUGACGUCAAGUCAUCAUGGCCCUUACGAGUAGGGCUACACACGUGCUACAAUGGCGCAUACAAAGAGAAGCGACCUCGCGAGAGCAAGCGGACCUCAUAAAGUGCGUCGUAGUCCGGAUUGGAGUCUGCAACUCGACUCCAUGAAGUCGGAAUCGCUAGUAAUCGUGGAUCAGAAUGCCACGGUGAAUACGUUCCCGGGCCUUGUACACACCGCCCGUCACACCAUGGGAGUGGGUUGCAAAAGAAGUAGGUAGCUUAACCUUCGGGAGGGCGCUUACCACUUUGUGAUUCAUGACUGGGGUGAAGUCAUAACA